UCCAAACGUGAAAACUCUCUUUCUCUCCCGAUCGAUAUUCUCGCAAAGCAAAACAGAGGAUCACGUUCUUCCUCUCUCGAAGCACUCUCCCACGAAUCCCUCAUUCGAUCGCUCCUUUCUCUCAAUAUCAUUAAGAACAAAACAGCAACAUUCAAUCAAGUAAACCAGAACCCUUAUCCCCAACAUAAAUCCCUAAACCCCAAUUUUCAAUAUGUUCAGCUGAUGAUUACGUGAUACAUCUGAAGUCAAGAGGAACAGGAAAUUGCAAUGUACAAAAUAAAGCAACAAUUCAACAAUAAAUCAAGGUUUACAGAAGAUCUACCGAGCGUGAGAGCUUCAGAAGGCGAUAUCAAGGUAAGGACUUGUUUAACCAUUUGGGUGAAAAUUUUGGCUUUUUUGAAGCAGGUUUUGGACAGAUAUGUGCACACGUCCUUGGACAGGAGUGGUGGACAGAAGUGGUGGAGCAGGUUGUAGUAGCAAAGAUUAUGUGCACACGUCCUUGGACAGGAGUGGUGGUCAGAAGUGGUGGAGCAGGUUGUAGUAGCAAAGAUUCAAAGAGAUGGUGGUGCGCAGGAUACAUGGGGAUGUUACCAACAACACUUUUUCCUUUCUUGAUCGAAACAGUACCUCUGCAUAUGGCUUUUAUUUUUGUCUUUUUAGUGGUUACUUAGAAAAUUGAAAUAUCCUUGCAUAGGAUUCUUAAAAAAUGUACUAUUGUUUAUAUAAAAAAAAUAAAGCUACCUUAAACAAAAUAUUAUAUAUUUUUUUUAUUUUUAUAACAAGGUUAUUAUAAUAUUGAAUGUAAAUGACUAAGAUAAAAUGCAAUUACUAUCUAUAAUGCUGAUUUUAAACAAUAAUUAGUUUUAUUAUUAAAGAAAUAUUAAUUCCAAUAAUAACAAACUUAAUUAUUAAUUUAAUUAACAAAAUGGUACAAAAAGAACCAAAUAUACAAGGUGCAAAAGUUGGUCACAAUUCGAGAACGUGACGUGAUUAGCAAAAUGACUGGGUCAAAGGACCUUGCAAAUAGCUAACUAUUAAU
Molecule: RNA transcript, 1039 nt
Organism: Vicia villosa (hairy vetch)
Lineage: Eukaryota; Viridiplantae; Streptophyta; Magnoliopsida; Fabales; Fabaceae
Exons: 2
Source: RefSeq, a predicted model, not a curated record